AGUGAACGCUGGCGGUAGGCCUAACACAUGCAAGUCGAACGGCAGCACAGUAAGAGCUUGCUCUUACGGGUGGCGAGUGGCGGACGGGUGAGGAAUACAUCGGAAUCUACUUUUUCGUGGGGGAUAACGUAGGGAAACUUACGCUAAUACCGCAUACGACCUACGGGUGAAAGCAGGGGAUCUUGGGACCUUGCGCGAUUGAAUGAGCCGAUGUCGGAUUAGCUAGUUGGCGGGGUAAAGGCCCACCAAGGCAACGAUCCGUAGCUGGCCUGAGAGGAUGAUCAGCCACACUGGAACUGAGACACGGUCCAGACUCCUACGGGAGGCAGCAGUGGGGAAUAUUGGGCAAUGGGCGAAAGCCUGACCCAGCAAUACCGCGUGAGUGAUGAAGGCCUUCGGGUUGUAAAGCCCUUUUGUUGGGAAAGAAAAGCAGCAGGUUAAUCCCCCGCUGUCUUGACGGUACCCAAAGAAUAAGCACCGGCUAACUUCGUG
RNAcentral lists this ribosomal RNA (492 nucleotides) under uncultured bacterium. Its description in RNAcentral is "partial 16S ribosomal RNA". It matches the Rfam family "Bacterial small subunit ribosomal RNA", at positions 29 to 507 of the family's 1533-position model. The record is from RNAcentral.